This 72-nucleotide transfer RNA is filed under the name Camelus bactrianus (Bactrian camel). It matches the Rfam family "tRNA". Rfam says of the family: Transfer RNA (tRNA) molecules are approximately 80 nucleotides in length. The record is from Rfam by way of RNAcentral. Lineage: Eukaryota; Metazoa; Chordata; Mammalia; Artiodactyla; Camelidae. RNAcentral also lists the same sequence under 2 other names.
GAGGGUAUAGCUCAGUAGUAGAGGGCGUGCUUAGCAUGCAUGAAGUCCUGGGUUCAAUCCCCAGCACCUCCA